UAGGAAAUACUAGGGAUAGGCCUGGGCUC
This 29-nucleotide non-coding RNA is filed under the name Homo sapiens (human). The record is from RNAcentral. Lineage: Eukaryota; Metazoa; Chordata; Mammalia; Primates; Hominidae.